AAAGUGGAGCAAUCCAUGAGUAGAGUGGCAAACGGGUGAGUAACGCGUGGGUGACCUGCCUUCGAGUGGGGGAUAACGCUCCGAAAGGGACGCUAAUACCGCAUAACAUCCCGCCUUUUAAGAGGUGGAAAUCAAAGCCUGGGACCGCAAGGCCAGGCGCUGGAAGAGGGGCCCGCGUCUGAUUAGCUAGUUGGUGGGGUAAUGGCUCACCAAGGCUUCGAUCAGUAUCCGGCCUGAGAGGGCGGACGGACACACUGGGACUGAGACACGGCCCAGACUCCUACGGGAGGCAGCAGUGGGGAAUUGUUCGCAAUGGGCGCAAGCCUGACGACGCAACGCCGCGUGGAGGAUGAAGAUCUUCGGGUCGUAAACUCCUUUCGAUCGAGACGAACGGCCUCUGGGUGAACAAUCCAGAGGAGUGACGGUACCGAGAGAAGAAGCCCCGGCUAACUCCGUGCCAGCAGCCGCGGUAAUACGGGGGGGGCAAGCGUUGUUCGGAAUUACUGGGCGUAAAGGGCUCGUAGGUGGCCAACUAAGUCAGACGUGAAAUCCCUCGGCUUAACCGGGGAACUGCGUCUGAUACUGGAUGGCUUGAGUUUGGGAGAGGGACGCGGAAUUCCAGGUGUAGCGGUGAAAUGCGUAGAUAUCUGGAGGAACACCGGUGGCGAAGGCGGCGUCCUGGACCAACACUGACACUGAUGAGCGAAAGCCAGGGGAGCAAACGGGAUUAGAUACCCCGGUAGUCCUGGCCCUAAACGAUGAAUGCUUGGUGUGGCGGGUAUCGAUCCCUGCCGUGCCGAAGCUAACGCA
RNAcentral lists this ribosomal RNA (810 nucleotides) under uncultured Pseudomonadota bacterium. RNAcentral's name for it is "bacterial SSU rRNA". It matches the Rfam family "Bacterial small subunit ribosomal RNA", at positions 71 to 859 of the family's 1533-position model. Lineage: Bacteria; Pseudomonadati; Pseudomonadota. The record is from RNAcentral.